UUUUCGCCUAAGGAUAGGUCUGCGGCUGAUUAGGUCGUUGGUGGGGUAAUGGCCCACCAAGCCGAUGAUCGGUACGGGUUGUGAGAGCAAGGGCCCGGAGAUGGAACCUGAGACAAGGUUCCAGACCCUACGGGGUGCAGCAGGCGCGAAACCUCCGCAAUGUACGAAAGUGCGACGGGGGGAUCCCAAGUGUUAUGCUUUUUUGUAUGACUUUUCAUUAGUGUAAAAAGCUUUUAGAAUAAGAGCUGGGCAAGACCGGUGCCAGCCGCCGCGGUAACACCGGCAGCUCGAGUGGUAGCUGUUUUUAUUGGGCCUAAAGCGUUCGUAGCCGGUUUGAUAAGUCUUUGGUGAAAGCUUGUAGCUUAACUAUAAGAAUUGCUGGAGAUACUAUUAGACUUGAAGUCGGGAGAGGUUAGAGGUACUACCGGGGUAGGGGUGAAAUCCUAUAAUCCUGGGAGGACCACCUGUGGCGAAGGCGUCUAGCUGGAACGAUCUUGACGGUGAGUAACGAAAGCCAGGGGCGCGAACCGGAUUAGAUACCCGGGUAGUCCUGGCCGUAAACGAUGUGGACUUGGUGUUGGAAUGGCUUUGAGUUGUUCCGGUGCCGAAGGGAAGCUGUUAAGUCCACCGCCUGGGAAGUACGGUCGCAAGACUGAAACUUAA
Molecule: ribosomal RNA, 663 nt
Filed under: uncultured archaeon
Lineage: Archaea
Description: bacterial SSU rRNA
Rfam family: Archaeal small subunit ribosomal RNA
Source: RNAcentral